This 234-nucleotide ribosomal RNA is filed under the name Triticum aestivum (bread wheat). RNAcentral's name for it is "partial small subunit ribosomal RNA". Lineage: Eukaryota; Viridiplantae; Streptophyta; Magnoliopsida; Poales; Poaceae. The record is from RNAcentral.
AUGCCUAAGAUAAAGACAAGCUGUGUUGAAUAUACUGAAGGGUGGGUGCUUAUUGAACCCAUAAUCCAUGAGCUGGAUGCAAAAUUAGAGAAGCUUGAAAACGAUACACAUGACGGGAAUAAAAAGUGCGAAGCACUCUGGCCAAUUUUUCGCAUUUCUCAUCCAAGAAGCCGUUACAUAUUAUGUAUAAUGAUCUUUUCUAUAGAAGAAGGAAGGAUAUAUCAAAGGAGCUGA